GAUGAACGCUGGCGGCGUGCCUAAUACAUGCAAGUCGAGCGAACAGACGAGGAGCUUGCUCCUCUGACGUUAGCGGCGGACGGGUGAGUAACACGUGGAUAACCUACCUAUAAGACUGGGAUAACUUCGGGAAACCGGAGCUAAUACCGGAUAAUAUAUUGAACCGCAUGGUUCAAUAGUGAAAGACGGUUUUGCUGUCACUUAUAGAUGGAUCCGCGCCGCAUUAGCUAGUUGGUAAGGUAACGGCUUACCAAGGCAACGAUGCGUAGCCGACCUGAGAGGGUGAUCGGCCACACUGGAACUGAGACACGGUCCAGACUCCUACGGGAGGCAGCAGUAGGGAAUCUUCCGCAAAGGGCGAAAGCCUGACGGAGCAACGCCGCGUGAGUGAUGAAGGCCUUCGGAUUGUAAAACUCUGUUAUUAGGGAAGAACAAAUGUGUAAGUAACUAUGCACGUCUUGACGGUACCUAAUCAGAAAGCCACGGCUAACUACGUG
Molecule: ribosomal RNA, 497 nt
Filed under: uncultured bacterium
Lineage: Bacteria
Description: partial 16S ribosomal RNA
Rfam family: Bacterial small subunit ribosomal RNA
Source: RNAcentral